AGUGAACGCUGGCGGCAGGCCUAACACAUGCAAGUCGAGCGGCAGCGCGUCCGACCACCCUCGGGUGGUCGGAUGGCGGCGAGCGGCGGACGGGUGAGGAAUGCAUCGGAAUCUGCCUCGUUGUGGGGGAUAACGUAGGGAAACUUACGCUAAUACCGCAUACGACCUACGGGUGAAAGUGGGGGACCUUCGGGCCUCACGCGAUGAGAUGAGCCGAUGCCGGAUUAGCUAGUUGGCGGGGUAAAGGGCCCACCAAGGCGACGAUCCGUAGCUGGUCUGAGAGGAUGAUCAGCCACACUGGAACUGAGACACGGUCCAGACUCCUACGGGAGGCAGCAGUGGGGAAUAUUGGACAAUGGGGGCAACCCUGAUCCAGCCAUGCCGCGUGUGUGAAGAAGGCC
RNAcentral lists this ribosomal RNA (401 nucleotides) under uncultured bacterium. RNAcentral describes it as "bacterial SSU rRNA". It matches the Rfam family "Bacterial small subunit ribosomal RNA", at positions 30 to 416 of the family's 1533-position model. The record is from RNAcentral.